CAGCAGCCGCGGUAAUACGUAGGCAGCGAGCGUUGUUCGGAAUUACUGGGCGUAAAGAGUGUGUAGGCGGUGCUAUAAGUUCGAUGUGAAAUCUCCCGGCUCAACUGGGAGGGUGCGCCGAAAACUGUAGUGCUCGAACGUGGGAGAGGAAAGCGGAAUUCCUGGUGUAGCGGUGAAAUGCGUAGAUAUCAGGAGGAACACCUGCGGUGUAGACGGCUUUCUGGACCAUUGUUGACGCUGAGACACGAAAGCGUGGGUAGCAAACAGGAUUAGAUACCCCCGUAGUCCCUGUCUCUUAUAC
RNAcentral lists this ribosomal RNA (301 nucleotides) under uncultured bacterium. RNAcentral's name for it is "partial 16S ribosomal RNA". It matches the Rfam family "Bacterial small subunit ribosomal RNA", at positions 509 to 807 of the family's 1533-position model. The record is from RNAcentral.